RNAcentral lists this ribosomal RNA (85 nucleotides) under uncultured bacterium. RNAcentral's name for it is "partial 16S ribosomal RNA". It matches the Rfam family "Bacterial small subunit ribosomal RNA", at positions 406 to 508 of the family's 1533-position model. The record is from RNAcentral.
CGAUGAAGCCCUUCGGGGUGUAAAGCUCUUUCGGCAGGAACGAUAAUGACGGUACCUGCAGAAGAAGCUGCGGCUAGCUACGUGC